RNAcentral lists this ribosomal RNA (492 nucleotides) under uncultured bacterium. RNAcentral's name for it is "partial 16S ribosomal RNA". It matches the Rfam family "Bacterial small subunit ribosomal RNA", at positions 29 to 507 of the family's 1533-position model. The record is from RNAcentral.
AGUGAACGCUGGCGGUAGGCCUAACACAUGCAAGUCGAACGGCAGCACAGUAAGAGCUUGCUCUUACGGGUGGCGAGUGGCGGACGGGUGAGGAAUACAUCGGAAUCUACUUUUUCGUGGGGGAUAACGUAGGGAAACUUACUCUAAUACCGCAUACGCCCUACGGGUGAAAGCAGGGGAUCUUCGGACCUUGCGCGAUUGAAUGAGCCGAUGUCGGAUUAGCUAGUUGGCGGGGUAAAGGCCCACCAAGGCGACGAUCCGUAGCUGGUCUGAGAGGAUGAUCAGCCACACUGGAACUGAGACACGGUCCAGACGCCUACGGGAGGCAGCAGUGGGGAAUAUUGGACAAUGGGCGCAAGCCUGAUCCAGCCAGACCGCGUGGGUGAAGAAGGCCUUCGGGUUGUAAAGCCCUUUUGUUGGGAAAGAAAAGCAGCAGGUUAAUACCCCGCUGUUCUGACGGUACCCAAAGAAUAAGCACCGGCUAACUUCGUG